This 492-nucleotide ribosomal RNA is filed under the name uncultured bacterium. RNAcentral describes it as "partial 16S ribosomal RNA". It matches the Rfam family "Bacterial small subunit ribosomal RNA", at positions 29 to 507 of the family's 1533-position model. The record is from RNAcentral.
AGUGAACGCUGGCGGUAGGCCUAACACAUGCAAGUCGAACGGCAGCACAGUAAGAGCUUGCUCUUACGGGUGGCGAGUGGCGGACGGGUGAGGAAUACAUCGGAAUCUACUUUUUCGUGGGGGAUAACGUAGGGAAACUUACGCUAAUACCGCAUACGACCUACGGGUGAAAGCAGGGGAUCUUCGGACCUUGCGCGAUUGAAUGAGCCGAUGUCGGAUUAGCUAGUUGGCGGGGUAAAGGCCCACCAAGGCGACGAUCCGUAGCUGGUCUGAGAGGAUGAUCAGCCCCACUGGAACUGAGACACGGUCGAGACUCCUACGGGAGGCAGCAGUGGGGAAUAUUGGACAAUGGGCGCAAGCCUGAUCCAGCCAUACCGCGUGGGUGAAGAAGGCCUUCGGGUUGUAAAGCCCUUUUGUUGGGAAAGAAAAGCAGCAGGUUAAUACCCCGCUGUUCUGACGGUACCCAAAGAAUAAGCACCGGCUAACUUCGUG